Molecule: long non-coding RNA, 470 nt
Organism: Xenia sp. Carnegie-2017
Lineage: Eukaryota; Metazoa; Cnidaria; Anthozoa; Malacalcyonacea; Xeniidae
Exons: 2
Source: RefSeq, a predicted model, not a curated record
AUACUGUUUCGAUAAUCUGGAAGCCUCAGUGCAUACACAAUUGGAUUGACAGCAAAAUUCACCAUGGCAACUGAUAACAUUUGUUGUCUGUAUUUGGGAUACUUUGCAAUCAUGUAAGUUUGCCAUGUGAGUGAUGUCAAGUGACAAAAUGAGCCCGCAGCACCAAACAUCCAAAAGAAAAGGACAGAAUAAAUGACAGCUUCUGAUGGUUUGACCUCGAACAAUCUACCCAAUCCAACAAUCAUGAAUUGGGACAAAGAUGCAGUGAAAUCAGCUAUAGAUAAGCUUAAGAGGGUAAUCCACGGUCCUCGUCUAAGUUUGUUUAAAGGAUCCUUCACAAUAACAACAAUAAGAAUUCCAUUUGUUAGGACACCAACUGUGGAGAUCACCAUUGUUGUUAUUAAUAUUUCUUGAGGAAGUGAGAAACUUUUCUUCGGUUUUUUAUUAAAUACAUAAAUAUAUGUUUAUUA